RNAcentral lists this unclassified non-coding RNA (507 nucleotides) under Hevea brasiliensis (rubber tree). The record is from RNAcentral. Lineage: Eukaryota; Viridiplantae; Streptophyta; Magnoliopsida; Malpighiales; Euphorbiaceae.
GUCAACAAAAUUAUAGUGGUUGGCAAGAGUGAUCCUUCCUAUCCAAUUCAAAAGAAAAGGGUCAGCAGAGAAUUUUUGAGAACUAAAGCUCAUCUUCGUCCUAGAACAAACACAUUUGGUGCGGUUGCAAGGGUAAGGAAUGCUUUGGCCUAUGCUACACACAAGUUCUUUCAAGAAAAUGGGUUUGUCUGGGUCUCAAGUCCUAUUAUCACAGCUUCAGAUUGUGAAGGAGCAGGUGAACAGUUCUGUGUUACUACUUUGAUUCCAAGCUCUCGGGAAGCAGCUGAUUCUCUUGUGGAUGGCAUUCCAAAAACAAAGGACGGGUUAAUUGAUUGGUCACAGGAUUUUUUUGGCAAACCAGCAUUUUUGACAGUCUCCGGCCAGCUCAAUGCCGAAACAUAUGCUACUGCUCUUUCUGAUGUUUAUACAUUUGGUCCCACAUUUCGAGCAGAAAAUUCUAAUACUUCUAGACACUUGGCUGAAUUUUGGAUGAUUGAACCAGAACUU